Molecule: ribosomal RNA, 253 nt
Filed under: uncultured bacterium
Lineage: Bacteria
Description: partial 16S ribosomal RNA
Rfam family: Bacterial small subunit ribosomal RNA
Source: RNAcentral
UACGUAGGGUGCAAGCGUUGUCCGGAAUUAUUGGGCGUAAAGAGCUCGUAGGCGGUUUGUCGCGUCGGCUGUGAAAACCUGGGGCUCAACCCCGGGCCUGCAUUCGAUACGGGCAGACUAGAGUUCGGUAGAGGAGUCUGGAAUUCCAGGUGUAGCGGUGAAAUGCGUAGAUAUCUGGAGGAACACCGGUGGCGAAGGCGGCAUCCUGGACCAAUAUUGACGCUGAGGAGCGAAAGCCAGGGGAGCAAACGGG